UCUUUUCUUUUGAUAAGAGAGUUUUUAAAACCAGUGUUAUUUAUGUAAGUUUAAGAGAAGUUUAUGUAUUAAAUUAUUGAUAUUAAAUAGGUUUAUUAGGCUUAGACUUAAUUUUAGGUCAUUUUGGGGGUUUAGCUCAGUUGGCUAGAGCAUCGGCUUUGCAAGCCGAGGGUCAAGGGUUCGAGUCCCUUAACCUCCAUUGGGCUUAUGCCCUAAAUUGUAAUUAAGUAUGUUUUUAAGUAACUUUGUUAAAGUAAUUGUUGGAAUGUGAAACGCAAGAAGUUAAAAUUUCUGGGUUAAGUUGAGAUCUGUUGAUAUUAAGAAAAAUGUCUAGAAGCAAAAGCAAGCUUUCGAUAAAACCCGAAGUUGUUUCGCUAAAGUGCAAGGAUUAAACAGGAUUGUAUUUUUCAGCAGCCUAUUUUAUAAACGAUCUGCAUUUAGUAAAUAGUUUUUAGUUAGGAAAUAAUGUAGAUUACUAAGUGUGAUGUCUGAGAGAAGGACAAGUAUUGUAGCGAGCUUAAAUCCUUAUUAUCGUUGCCAGUAUUUAGUGGUAGGGAUUCGGAUAAGAUUGCCAGUUAUAAGUUGGAGGAAGGCAAAGAUUGCAUUAAAUCGUUAUCGCUCUUAUGUUUUAGGUUACAAGUUUGCAACAAUAACUCAAAAAAGCUAAGCAAAAUACUAUAAAGCAGAUUUCAGUUUGGAUUUGCCCGACACUCAAUGGCAUGAAGUUGUAAUUGUUAGUAAUCG
Molecule: unclassified non-coding RNA, 744 nt
Filed under: Borreliella burgdorferi (Lyme disease spirochete)
Lineage: Bacteria; Pseudomonadati; Spirochaetota; Spirochaetia; Spirochaetales; Borreliaceae
Description: partial contains 16S ribosomal RNA and 16S-23S ribosomal RNA intergenic spacer
Rfam family: tRNA (bases 126-199)
Source: RNAcentral